This 3932-nucleotide long non-coding RNA is filed under the name Xyrichtys novacula (pearly razorfish). The record is from RNAcentral. Lineage: Eukaryota; Metazoa; Chordata; Actinopteri; Labriformes; Labridae.
UGAGCUGACAGUCUGGUUAUGGACUCACAGACCUCGCUGCUGUUGCAGCAGCUCUAUAUAAGGAUGUUCGAGUCUCCAGAGGAAAGACAUGGAGGGCAGUGCAGGUCAGUGCACACACACACACAAACACACACACACGCCUUGUAUGGCGUUGGAAACUUGAUGGAAAAUGUGUGUGUUAAAGGAGAGAGCGUGAAAUUCCUCCUUUUUGUCUAAAUCUAAAUCUGGACCUGUUUGGUUUGGACUGAAGGUUCUGCUGAAGCUCAAAGAGGACCUAAAAGAAGACCUGAUCCCACAUGAUCCAGGUCCACUUCACUGACAGACCUCAUUGUCAGCACCGAGAUGUUAUGACAAAUGUAUAAAACUGGCUUAGAGAAAUCCCAACUAUAUGUGAACCUAUCCAAGACUGUAUGUUUUCCAAAAUAGAGCAAGUCCUGACAGUGAUCCCGGCGUCUCUGUGAAGGUAAAACGAUUAAAGUGGUCCAAGAGUUGAAAUACUGAGGUAUCACUGUUGACUUACAACUCCUUUAUAAACCACAGAUGAAAAAAAAACACUGUUAAUGUAGCAUAGCGGUAGUUCAGGCAGGUCACAGAGAUCUCCAGCCAGCCCUCAGUCAGCUGACAGCUCAGGUGAUCGCCCUCUACACAUCCUAUUGGCUAAUGUCAAAAUGCAACCCACCUCCACCCCAGCUCCUCCUGUUUAUGUUGUGUCUGAUCUUACCAGUGUCAUAUGUAUUGUCACUGAUGCUUGCUCUGUUCUGUGGGGGAUUUUAAUUUAUUUAUCUUAAUCGUAUUUAUUUGCUGCUGCUUUCUCUGCCUUAGCUUCUCAUGUAUGUACAUGCAAGGGAGGGGAGGGGCUCUCCCCUCUUAUAGCCGUGGAAUUCACACUUGUCCUAUUGUCAUGAUAUGUUCUGUUUGCAUAACAAGCUGGGAAUCGGCAUGUAAGACGACACUAAAGCCGAUUGAAACAAUUUAUGAACAAACUUUGAAAGUCCUGGAUAAAAAAAACAAAAAUGUACCGUCACGGUCAGAGAUUAAAAAAAUCAGCUGGGACAACACCGUUAAAUUCACUGAUGCCAUCUUGGUUUACAAAAUCUAACAUGGCAAAGAACCCCCCCCCCCCCCCCAACACACACACACACACACACAAGUUUGUGUUUCUGAUGGAAAAUCUCCUCCUGUCCUCUUGUAGGUCCUCUCCCUCUUUAGACAUCUGUCUCUCUAAAUCUGUCCAUCCUCUGAGCGACAGGCCGGCCUCACUUCCAAAGGUACACACACACACCCACAAACACACACACACAGUCGAUUUAUUCCAGCGGAAGUUUUCCUCCCCCCAUGAAACAGGCGUGCUGUUGGCCUUUUCUCUCAAUUGUCAUGGAAACCACAGAGCCCCUGACUGCACACACACACACACACACACACACACACACACACACACACACAAAUGAUACAUGUGUUUUCUUGGUGAGCAGCUGGAGUGUGUAGAAUGAUAAUUAGACCCCGUCGUGGUCUUGGACUCUGUUGUGAGAUCAGGGAUCAGUUUUUUCACCAUCAAACUCUACCUCCUCACCUGCUGUAGCUCCACCCACCUUAGCUGGUCACCUGUCUUAAAUGAAGGUCCAGUCUAAGUCCAGUCUGGCUGACAGAGCAGAUCCGGUUCGAUUCAGGGUUGUAAAAUCCAGGAUCCUCCUCAGACCUGAACCGGUGAAUCCGAUCAGCUGUGAGGAUCUGUGGUUCUGGGUCCCACAACCCUGGAUCAAACCUCCUGAAGAUCUGGACCCUGGACCAGACUCACACAGUUUCUGUCCCAAAGUUCAGGUACCUGUUCACACAGGUAAACCGUCCAGAACCUCUGAACCCAGCUCAGCUUUUAACAGGAUCCUCUCAGCCAAUUAGGAUCCAGGAUUCUACUCAGCCAGUCAGGAGCCAGGAUUAUACUGUCAGUCAGAGCGAAAAUAAACAUAAAAAACAACUUUAUUUUAAAAACCUAAUUUUAGAACCAAAACCUCCACUGUGAGUGUGUGUGUGUGUGUGUGUGUGUGUGUGUGUAACCACAACAAAAACAGAAGCUCUGAGGCUCUGCAGCAACUUUACCAACUCAGACAGGAAGUCCAGUCAGCAUGACUUGACACAUGACACACACACACACACACACACACACACACACACACACACACACACACACACACACACACACAAUAGGGGAGAAUGGGUUAAGAUGAUCCAUGUUUCAUAUUUCGGAUCACUACAUCAAGUCAAUCCUAGUUUUGUCUCUAACUAGUGUAUCUGCAUAUAUUUCAGGAUGUUGUUCAUCCCUGAAAACCAACAGAAUGAGUGCAAACAGAACUAUAAUCUUGAUAAUAUAGCAUGACAUAAACAAAGUGGUCUCCUAUGCUAAGUUGAGCUGUACCCCCCCCCCACACACACCCCCCACCCAGCCCUCCCUCACCUUCUCUCUCCCUAAAUAACAGUCACUUCCUCACAUUCAUGUGUAUUUUUAUCUAUUAUACAAUAUUCAACUGGUACAAUCAUUCUUUUUAUUAUUAUUACAUAUACCUGCUAAAAAGCUGUUUUAUAAAAAAAACAUUUGAACAUGAGAAUGUCUUUAAGUGAUUCAGAACAUUCACAGGCUUCUCGCCAAAGUUAAAACCCAUUUAAGCCAGAAGGACCUUGAAAAAGUUAUCUUUGCUUUUAUGAAAAUGUUUUUUUGGGAAAAAAAUGUCUAACCCAGUGGUUCUCAACUGGUCUCACUCUGGGACCCACAUUUUCCCAUGGUCCCUAAGUCAAGACCCACUUUCAUAAAAUUCAAACCAAGCUAAUUUUUUUAAAUUAAAAAAAACCCUUCAAAAUCUCAAGUCUUUAACACAAGUACAAUCAUUUUAUUGAGUAAAGGGCAAUUUAGAGAGAAUGAACUGAGGACAACUACUGAAGUUGCAUAUACAGAAAAUAUCAAAUUACAUAAAAUAAAGACAAAAAAAAAAUAAAAAAUUCUGCAUCCAGGCCACAUGAAUAAGAAACCUAGGAGGACUAUGACAUAACACGUGCCUUUCAAAAUAAGCUAUUUUUCAAAAUAAAAGACAUGUCAAACAUCAGAUGCGCAGUAAAUAUUUACUUUUUUGACCAACUGUUCACGACCCAUCCAGAACGUGUGCACAACCCACUUUUGGAUCUGGACCCACCAGUUGAGAACCACUGGUCAAACCCCUUCACCCAUGUUAUUCUAACCUUCACAGACUCCAUGAAUUGAUGACCAUCUCCUAAAGAUUUGGUCACAUGAUCAAUCUCUUUGGCUCAACUUACCAUGGUCUCCCCCAUCCAUUAUUCUUCCUGAAAUCCUCUGCAGCGACCCCUUUAUGGGUCCAGUCUGUGAUGGUGCCCCUGGUCCUGAAUGAACCUGGUCCUCCCCUCACACCUCCAUCAGAGCUCCAACUGUCAAAGAUCUGAUUUCUUGAAAAACACACAAACUACAGGAAGUUAACAAGCCACCAUCACUGUGGCGGCGGCGUCUGACCCAAACAUCCACGAGACCUGAGGAAGACCCUGAGGAAGAACCUGAGCAGCUCCACACUCUCGUCUUCUUCUUUUUCUUUUAUUUUGUAUCCAAAUUAAAAAAAAACAACUGAUUAACGGCUCCGACUGAAACUGGACCUUCAGAUCUGACUGAGACCCUCUCAAGUUCAGACCAUCAAAGUUCCAGGAGGACCCUCUCUCUGUCAGACUCGGAUGGGCCAGAACCUUCUGAGCACGGUCCACAAUUCUGGACCUGAGGAGGCAGUCUGAACCUGAAUGACAUCAGAGCUCACGGUGCAGUUUUGGGCCGUUUCUUCAAGGUCUUGCCGACCCCCUCAACCAGGGACCCCUGCUGCCGGUCAGGUAUCAGAGGAGACCUCAAAGAUCCAGGUCCUGCAGUUCAUAAGUGUGUGAACAGAUCA